AACGAACGCUGGCGGCAGGCCUAACACAUGCAAGUCGAACGGGUACUUUCGGGUACUAGUGGCGGACGGGUGAGUAACGCGUGGGAACGUGCCCUUUGGUUCGGAAUAGCCCUGGGAAACUGGGAGUAAUACCGGAUGAGCCCUACGGGGGAAAGAUUUAUCGCCAAAGGAUCGGCCCGCGUUGGAUUAGGUAGUUGGUGGGGUAAUGGCCUACCAAGCCGACGAUCCAUAGCUGGUUUGAGAGGAUGAUCAGCCACACUGGGACUGAGACACGGCCCAGACACCUACGGGUGGCUG
Molecule: ribosomal RNA, 297 nt
Filed under: uncultured Pseudomonadota bacterium
Lineage: Bacteria; Pseudomonadati; Pseudomonadota
Description: uncultured proteobacterium partial 16S ribosomal RNA
Rfam family: Bacterial small subunit ribosomal RNA
Source: RNAcentral